This 227-nucleotide non-coding RNA is filed under the name Youngiibacter fragilis. RNAcentral describes it as "T-box sequence". It matches the Rfam family "T-box leader". From Rfam's summary of the family: Uncharged tRNA acts as the effector for transcription antitermination of genes in the T-box leader family. T-boxes are found upstream of many aminoacyl-tRNA synthetase genes and some amino acid biosynthetic genes usually in Gram-positive bacteria. The record is from RNAcentral. Lineage: Bacteria; Bacillati; Bacillota; Clostridia; Eubacteriales; Clostridiaceae.
UCAAAUGCGAUGACGGAGACAAUGCCUCUAGCAAGCAGGUUCAGAGAAUCGAUGGUUGGUGAGAAUCGAUGCUGCACUUCUGGUAUAAUCACUCCCGAGCAUUUUCGCUGAAUACUGAGUAAGCGGGAACGGUAUGCCCCGUUACAGGCAAGAGUUUGAUUGAACUUGAUUGAGCGCUGGCUGAUGCCGGCAUUAGGGUGGUACCGCGGAAAGUUUUCGCCCCUGCA